UCUUUGUGCGAGCGUUGUUCGGAAUUACUGGGCGUAAAGCGCGUGUAGGCGGCCUUGCAAGUCAGGCGUGAAAGCCCUCGGCUUAACCGGGGAAGUGCGUCUGAAACUGCUUGGCUUGAGUACGGGAGAGGAAGGCGGAAUUCCCAGUGUAGAGGUGAAAUUCGUAGAUAUUGGGAGGAACACCGGUGGCGAAAGCGGCCUCCUGGACCGAUACUGACGCUGAGACGCGAAAGCGUGGGGAGCAAACAGGAUUAGAUACCCUGGUAGUCCACGCGGUAAACGAUGGGCACUAGGUGUGGGGGGUAUCCACUCCUCCCGUGCCGAAGCUAACGCAUUAAGUGCCCCGCCUGGGGAGUACGGCCGCAAGGUUA
RNAcentral lists this ribosomal RNA (371 nucleotides) under uncultured bacterium. Its description in RNAcentral is "bacterial SSU rRNA". It matches the Rfam family "Bacterial small subunit ribosomal RNA", at positions 527 to 896 of the family's 1533-position model. The record is from RNAcentral.